Molecule: ribosomal RNA, 309 nt
Filed under: Triticum aestivum (bread wheat)
Lineage: Eukaryota; Viridiplantae; Streptophyta; Magnoliopsida; Poales; Poaceae
Description: partial small subunit ribosomal RNA
Source: RNAcentral
AUGGAGGGCGGAAGCGGUGGCAGAUCUCGGCGGCGAGCGGCCGGAAGUUCUGGGUGGCUUGCAGCGCAGAGGCGAGCGGACGGUAGCGUCGCGCAGCCUCUGGGCUGUGUGCGGUGUGGUGAGGGCGAGCCCUUGUGUCCGUGCGGCGGGCGACCUCGUGCCCUCGUCGGCUGGCGGCAUCCAGCAACGGUAUGCUCGCCCCCUCCUCCAUGUAGUCCAGCCAUGAGCAACGACUCCCCGUCUCCACCUGCUCCACAAGGCCACAAGUCUACGACUAUCCUCCUAACCUUGUUCAGUCAUCAAACGUAG